Molecule: ribosomal RNA, 459 nt
Filed under: uncultured bacterium
Lineage: Bacteria
Description: partial 16S ribosomal RNA
Rfam family: Bacterial small subunit ribosomal RNA
Source: RNAcentral
CCUACGGGUGGCAGCAGUGAGGAAUAUUGGUCAAUGGCCGAGAGGCUGAACCAGCCAAGUCGCGUGAGGGAAGACGGCCCUACGGGUUGUAAACCUCUUUUGUCGGGGAGCAAAGCGAGUCACGUGUGACUCAUUGAGAGUACCCGAAGAAAAAGCAUCGGCUAACUCCGUGCCAGCAGCCGCGGUAAUACGGAGGAUGCGAGCGUUAUCCGGAUUUAUUGGGUUUAAAGGGUGCGUAGGCGGACAGUCAAGUCAGCGGUAAAAAUGCGGUGCUCAACGCCGUACAGCCGUUGAAACUGGCAGUCUUGAGUGGGCGAGAAGUAUGCGGAAUGCGUGGUGUAGCGGUGAAAUGCAUAGAUAUCACGCAGAACUCCGAUUGCGAAGGCAGCAUACCGGCGCCCGACUGACGCUGAGGCACGAAAGCGUGGGUAUCGAACAGGAUUAGAUACCCCAGUAGUC